This 301-nucleotide ribosomal RNA is filed under the name uncultured bacterium. Its description in RNAcentral is "partial 16S ribosomal RNA". It matches the Rfam family "Bacterial small subunit ribosomal RNA", at positions 509 to 807 of the family's 1533-position model. The record is from RNAcentral.
CAGUAGCCGCGGUAAUACGAAGGGUGCAAGCGUUACUCGGAAUUACUGGGCGUAAAGCGUGCGUAGGCGGUUUGUUAAGUCUGCUGUGAAAUCCCCGGGCUCAACCUGGGAAUGGCAGUGGAUACUGGCAAGCUGGAGUGUGUCAGAGGAUGGUGGAAUUCCCGGUGUAGCGGUGAAAUGCGUAGAGAUCGGGAGGAACAUCAGUGGCGAAGGCGGCCAUCUGGGGCAACACUGACGCUGAGGCACGAAAGCGUGGGGAGCAAACAGGAUUAGAUACCCGCGUAGUCCCUGUCUCUUAUAC